Molecule: ribosomal RNA, 405 nt
Filed under: uncultured Campylobacter sp.
Lineage: Bacteria; Pseudomonadati; Campylobacterota; Epsilonproteobacteria; Campylobacterales; Campylobacteraceae
Description: bacterial SSU rRNA
Rfam family: Bacterial small subunit ribosomal RNA
Source: RNAcentral
UGGGGAAUAUUGCGCAAUGGGCGAAAGCCUGACGCAGCAACGCCGCGUGGAGGAUGACACUUUUCGGAGCGUAAACUCCUUUUCUUAGGGAAGAAUUCUGACGGUACCUAAGGAAUAAGCACCGGCUAACUCCGUGCCAGCAGCCGCGGUAAUACGGAGGGUGCAAACGUUACUCGGAAUCACUGGGCGUAAAGGGCGCGUAGGCGGAUUAUCAAGUCUCUUGUGAAAUCUAAUGGCUCAACCAUUAAACUGCUUGGGAAACUGAUAGUCUAGAGUAAGGGAGAGGCAGAUGGAAUUGGUGGUGUAGGGGUAAAAUCCGUAGAUAUCACCAAGAAUACCCAUUGCGAAGGCGAUCUGCUGGAACUUAACUGACGCUAAGGCGCGAAAGCGUGGGGAGCAAACAGG